Molecule: non-coding RNA, 2746 nt
Organism: Triticum urartu
Lineage: Eukaryota; Viridiplantae; Streptophyta; Magnoliopsida; Poales; Poaceae
Source: RefSeq, a predicted model, not a curated record
CCUCUGCUCAACCGCUGCCACACGUAUGCCAUCGUCACACCCUCUACCACCGUCUCCCUCUGCUGGGUAGAUGAGGAAGCCGAUGUCAGCAUCACCAACGCCAUGUUCCACGACUUCAGGGUCGCUGGAUCUGGGAUAUCCACCCUCUGAAGCCGCUGCCCAAGCCCCAAACCGCUAUUCACACCCUGAACAAAUACCGCGUUCGAUGUGUCGAUCGCGUAGGAAACUGCCAGCAUUCACCGCUUUGUUUCCUCCUAGGAGCAGUUCAUGGCAAUUGAGCCGUGAGUUCACGGCCACGGCCGCCGCCGCCGCCAGGGCAGCCACAUCAACUGACCGCAGCAACACCAACAAUCAAGUGGACAUAAUGGGUGGGAUACGGAGCGGAUAAGGCCUCCGGCUGUCUCUAGAAGAUUGAGGGAAGAGCCCAGGAGGUAGCUUUCCCGCACAACACUCCAUCUCUCACGAUGUCAGUGAUUCAAUUAGGAUGUGGCACUUUAUUGUGUCUCUAUUGGAGGAAAGGGACACGGAGAAUUGGAAUUACAAAGUUUACACCAGAAACAUAGAGAUAUAAGAACUCAUCUCCAAGCUAUAGUUUAGGAGAGGCGAGCCUACACCUACAGAUGCCAUAUCAUUUUGUUCACCUACAGAUAGGUUGAUGAUUUGAUUUUCUUAAUUAUCAUCCAAUGUUACCUCAUAAAUCCUUUUGAGCAAGGUAUUGUUCGUGUACAUAUUAAUUGCUCAAGCAUUUUCGCCGUCUCUAUUCAAGUUUACUAUUGCGUGAAAAGUUAGAUGCUUAUAUGUCUGGUGACAUCAAAACAUUUGAUUGUUCAACGUCAAAGAAAGCAACCAAAUAUUUCAUUUGUGAUGUACUGAUAGCAUUUCUUGGUAUUUCUUGUUACACAAACACACCUGCAGAUCACCAACCGUGUUUUUUUAGGUUGUGAAUGCGUCCAAAUUGGUAUUGAACAGAUCAGGCUGUUGCUGCCCCAUGAAUGACUGUUAUGUGAUUCUUUCUAGCAAUAUACAAAGCCUUAUGAUCAUGAUGCUGCUGCCCCAUGACUGAAUGUGUUUCUGAAAGAGGAUGUCACACAGAGUAUAAUACUGGAAGGAGGAGUGAGCAACAGCCAGAUCAGAGAAGUUAAGAACAAGACACAUGCUUCAGAUUAACUCCUAUUUCUUAACCAGUAUGCUUUUGAUGAUUGAAGUACAUUAAAAAAGUAUAUAUUUCUUCAUAUUGACGGAUUCUAAUGGUAUGAUUUCAGCAUGCAAAUAAUUCUUCUAUAUGUCUGACUAUAAUGUGCUGCCGUGCAAAUAUGCAGAAGGAUGAUCUCACUUUUGGGGACAUGGUUUUGUGAAUCGAUGUGUUAUCUUGACCAAAUAUCUUAGUAUUUGUACAACGUUGCAAUAUGGAUAGCCUUGUCGCCACUUUUACUGGAUUGAUAUAUAAUACUGUAUGUACAAUGAUUCGGUACAUAUAUACCUGUAGCAACUACUAAUCGAAAUUUCUUCUUCCACCUACAAAAAUAUAUAGAAUCUUCCUGCAUAAUUUCAUGUUGAUACCUGAUUUCCAUGUCCAUACUGUUGGGGCGAGCUAAAACUGCAAGGCCUCAUAGUGCAUAGAGGCACCUAAUAAAGUUUUCAGGUUUGUCCCAAGAACUAUUAUAUCCAGACAAGAUAUUUGCUUGCAGAACCACCAGAGCUCUGAACCUUCUAGGUAAUUUCACAUGGUGUGCAGGUUGAGCUGUCCAACAAGUGCAAUAUAAUCAGCGGCAGGGCACCCACGAUAUCCCUGAUUUGCAUUUAAGUGAUAUAAGAAUCAGGAGAAGGGGGAAAAGAGAGGCGGAAGCAUAAUCUUGGGAGUAAUGGAGAUGCUGACAGAGUUAGAGCUGGAUGGAGCAUCAAACAAUGGAAUCGAGUCAUGCAUGGAAUUGUAAGCCGAUCAUAUAGGCAUAGACCUGAAUUCAUUUUUCCGAUGUAUAAUUCAAAUACUAAUAUAAAGAGUUCGUUAUUGCUGUUUGUUGUGAACCAUGUGAACAUAUUGCUGUAACAAAAAAAAUCUGUGUGAACAUAUUUGAAUGGUCUCAUCUUCAAAUAAGAUCUCUAUAGUAGCAGGAUUCCUUAAUAUUUAAAUCUGGAAAGUGAAGACUUAUAUUUAUAAAUUAUAAAACUGUACUUGGUCGGAUAAAAUUGUGCAUACAAAAACUACAAGUUUCCUGUGCUUGAAAUAUUUUUUCCACUAUUUGCUUUGAUCGAUAUGUGGCUUGCAUGCAAAUGAUAAUUGGAAUUUUGUUUUCUUUGCAUUUCUGGGGUGUGGAAACAAUUUUGAAUAAAGGAUAUAUGUUAUUUAGUGAUGUUCUUGUUUAGAUUUAUUACCAGCGUAAAAACUAAUUAAGGAUCAGUUUUAGAUACGUGCAUUUGCACGUACACGAUUACUAGUUACGACUGAUUCGGCAACUGUCGAGGAGCUACUGGCUGUGGCGGCGGAACUGGGGCCCCUAGUGGUAGCCAAGUGAUCGUUUAUGUAUGCUACGAUACAGAUAGCAUUCCCUGCCAUGGCGAGGGUAUGGUUCAUAGAUCUCAAGGGUUCAAGGAGAAUUACAGGGAGGAUUACAGAGAGAGGGAGAGACUUGGGGAAGAAGAAGCUCAGAGAGAAGAUCUGGAUUUGCUACAACUCAUUCGUACCCCACACACCUACACACGCAACGCUAUAUAACUGAGUCGCUGGGCCGGUCCCUCGGCCCACGGA